GAUGAACGCUGGCGGCGUGCCUAAUACAUGCAAGUCGAGCGAACAGACGAGGAGCUUGCUCCUCUGACGUUAGCGGCGGACGGGUGAGUAACACGUGGGUAACCUACCUAUAAGACUGGGAUAACUUCGGGAAACCGGAGCUAAUACCGGAUAAUAUAUUGAACCGCAUGGUUCGAUAGUGAAAGAUGGUUUUGCUAUCACUUAUAGAUGGAUCUGCGCCGCAUUAGCUAGUUGGUAAGGUAACGGCUUACCAAGGCAACGAUGCGUAGCCGACCUGAGAGGGUGAUCGGCCACACUGGAACUGAGACACGGUCCAGACUCCUACGGGAGGCAGCAGUAGGGAAUCUUCCGCAAUGGGCGAAAGCCUGACGGAGCAACGCCGCGUGAGUGAUGAAGGUCUUCGGAUCGUAAAACUCUGUUAUUAGGGAAGAACAAACGUGUAAGUAACUGUGCACGUCUUGACGGUACCUAAUCAGAAAGCCACGGCUAACUACGUG
Molecule: ribosomal RNA, 497 nt
Filed under: uncultured bacterium
Lineage: Bacteria
Description: partial 16S ribosomal RNA
Rfam family: Bacterial small subunit ribosomal RNA
Source: RNAcentral